Molecule: long non-coding RNA, 293 nt
Organism: Phalaenopsis equestris
Lineage: Eukaryota; Viridiplantae; Streptophyta; Magnoliopsida; Asparagales; Orchidaceae
Exons: 3
Source: RefSeq, a predicted model, not a curated record
AAUAAAGUAUUCUAUAUUAUACCAAAGCAUGAUUUCACCUGAAGUUAAGCAUGAGAUAUUGAGAUAAUGAUGAUUGAAAUUUCUCUAAAAUGAAUUUGUAUGAAGUUUUGAUGAUUAAUCGAAUCAUAAGAUCUAUUGGAGCAGGAGCCACUCCUAAAGGUGUUCUUAGAGUCAUGGGUGUACCAGGGUUAACUAUAUAUCAUGUGAAGAGCCACUUACAGAAAUAUCGUCUAGCAAAGUAUAUUCCCGAUUCUUCAUCUGAUGGCUUGAAGGAUGAAAGUAAAGAACCUGGC